GGGUUAGUUGCUUCUAAGCCAGCUAUCUCGAUGAGAGUUUGAAGAUCUACAUUGAAAUCUUUUACCUAAGAAACUUAGUCCUUACCCAUAAACCCAGGAGAAGAGGGGGAGCACGCAUCAGAGCUAGUAAAUAUAGAAAAAGUCAAACAUUCCUCAUCAAGGCCUCGGAAGAAACCAAAGAAACCAAAAAAACACCAAGGGAGAAAAUGUCCACUGAAACACGUGCCUGCCUGGGUGUGAGGAUAUCCUAUGACAGUCACUGUCGCUCAGGCAGGGAUCUCAUCAAAUAACCAGGAACUAUCAACCAUUGGAGAAGAGAAGAGACUGGGAGUUACCCCAUGCCCAGACAAACUUUUCAUCUAUUCUUCUGAGGGUAACCCCAGGAGAUUACCUGGGGGACUUUUUUUUGCAUAAUAAGACAACCUUUGUUCCUGUGCAGCUCCACAUCUUUUCUUCCUAUAAAGUCUGCCUCCAACAUCGUGGGUCCAUUCAAUUCUCCCUAAUGAAAGCAUUGCCUACAGUCUCCAUCUCCUCUCUUCCCCGUAAAGCUUCUGUGCCACACUGGGUUGGUGGGCAAUCCCCCUGUGAUCCACUACUCCCCUGCCCACAUCCCAACCCCACCAUACACGUUAAUAAAUGUGUGUACCUUUUCUCCUGUUAUUCUGC
This 666-nucleotide long non-coding RNA is filed under the name Homo sapiens (human). RNAcentral describes it as "HSALNT0023577". The record is from RNAcentral. Lineage: Eukaryota; Metazoa; Chordata; Mammalia; Primates; Hominidae.